GCCUUCGGGGUGUAACGGUAGCACACUCAACUCGUAUUCGAGAGAUCCAGGUUCGAGUCCCGGCGAGGGCA
This 71-nucleotide transfer RNA is filed under the name Stegodyphus mimosarum. It matches the Rfam family "tRNA". From Rfam's summary of the family: Transfer RNA (tRNA) molecules are approximately 80 nucleotides in length. The record is from Rfam by way of RNAcentral. Lineage: Eukaryota; Metazoa; Arthropoda; Arachnida; Araneae; Eresidae.